Spinacia oleracea (spinach) is the source of this 794-nucleotide RNA transcript. It is a transcript of the gene named DEAD-box ATP-dependent RNA helicase 18-like, with no coding region annotated. Lineage: Eukaryota; Viridiplantae; Streptophyta; Magnoliopsida; Caryophyllales; Amaranthaceae. The transcript is spliced from 7 exons. The record is from RefSeq and is a predicted model, not a curated record.
UUUAUGCAAGUAAUGUCUUUCUGUUGAGGAAUCAACUGAAUUUGAUUGCUGGUGUAAGUGAAGUUUCAUAGGAGAAGCUACUAUCAUUAGUUGCCGAGAGAUUCUUAGUUAUUGUGAUUUUACGUUGUCUUUCUAUUAAAGAUGGGUUAUCAUAUCUUGAUUUUAAAUUAAAUUGUAUUUUUACAUUAUACAGCAACAUUAACAAUCAAAGUUGGAAGCUGCAAUUCCUGGUGAUGUUGAUAACAUUUGGACUGUAUUGACGAAUCUUAUCGGCAAUGUCAGUGAGAACACCGGUGAGAAUAAUGCUUCUCUUGUGAGAUGCAAUUAUCAAAACGAGGAUGGUAAAAGAAGCAUGAGGCACCGAGAAUCAUCUUAUGCAGUAGGCAGAAAGCUAUGCUAUCUAAUAGUUGCCAUGGGUUUGCAAGUAGUCUGGAGCUUAAACUUCACUUUGAUGGAUGCCUAUGCACUGGCGAAGAAAAGAGUGCUCCACAAUUGAAUCCUUGUUAGCCUUUUGUAAUCGGAGAUUGGAGUUGGACGAACUGCUCGAGUGCUCGCAAGGGGAGUCAGGAACUGCAGUUGUCUUUCAUUUAUCCAAGGAGGAAGCAUAUGUAAAAUUUCUGCAGAUUAGGAGGGUUCCUCUCCAGGAACGGGAGUGCUCAAAUAAUGCUCCUGAUAUUAUUCCCCAGAUAAGAUCUAUCGCAAAAAAGGACCGUGAUGUUAUGUAGAAAGGACAAAAUCCUUUGUCUCUUUUGUCCGUGCAUAUAAGGAGCAUAAUUUCUCCUUCAUUUUCAGGU